UUUUAAAAAAAUCGAGACUAGUUUGUAUAAUUUUCUCUCUGACAUAUAUUAUGUAAAUUAUUCCAAUUUCUGUUGAAUGUUUAUGCAAUUCAUAAGCAGAGAGUUGAGUAUACCAAAUUGCCGAGGCCUAAGAGAAAACGGAAGAAGACGACGGAAAGAAUGGGCGUUGAUUAUUACAAGAUUCUUCAGGUUGAUCGUAAUACUAACGACGAGGACUUGAAGAAAGCGUACAAGAAGCUCGCCAUGAAGUGGCAUCCAGAUAAGAAUCCUGAGAACAAAAGCGAUGCUGAAGCCAAAUUCAAGAAGAUUUCAGAAGCUUAUUUGGUUUUGAGUGAUCCUCAAAGACGAGCUGUGUAUGAUCAGUUAGGAGAGGAGGGUUUAAACUUGAAGAUGGGAACGCCAUCGCCAAGUGGUUCUUCGACUGGGUUUUCCUUUGAUGUGAAAAGUAGUUCCAAUGAUUUGUUUAUGGGGUUGUUUGGUUUUCCGAACCCUUUUGGAGGGAUGGAACACAUGGCUGAUCACUCUCGUGCUGCUGGUUAUAGUUUUUCAGAUGGUUGGUUUGGUGAUAAUAGGUAUUCUUCCCUUAGACAUGGAGUUGGUCUUGGCUCCAAUUAUAUGAGGAAAGGUGCUACAAUAGAGAGGACUUUGCUGUGUAGUUUAGAAGAACUAUACACGGGUUGUGUGAAGAAGAUGAAGAUUGCUAGUGAUGCCAUCGAUAAUAUUGGGAGACCUACUACAGUGGAUAAAAUCGUAGCAGUAGACAUCAGGCCUGGAUGGAAGAGGGGAACUAAAAUUACAUUUCCAGAAUUGGGAGAUCCACAUUCAAGAGUAAUACCCUCAAAGGUUGUGCUUACCCUUGAUGAAAUACCUCACAGGGUUUUCAAAAGGGAUGGCAACGAUCUUAUUGCCACCCAAGAGAUCACUCUGGUUGAAGCUCUAACAGGAUACACUGUGCAUCUAACAACUCUUGGUGGUCGAAACCUGAUGAUUCCGAUCGAUUCAGUCGUUGGGCCCAGUUAUGAAGAAGUAGUCAUGGGAGAAGGGAUGCCAUUUCCUAAGGAACCUUCAAGAAAUGGGAAUUUGAGAAUCAAAUUCAACAUUAUGUUCCCCAUCAAACUGACGUCAGAGCAAAAAAUGGGGAUCAAUCAGUUAUUAACCUCUUCAUAGAAGAUGAUCUCCUAUUUUCUCUUUCCGCCAUGGAAAUUCCUUCCACCACUCCCAAAACCGUCGAAGAAAUUUUCAAAGAUUACACUGCUCGCCGUGCCGCUCUUGUUCGCGCCCUUGCUCACGAUGUCGAUGAAUUCUACGGCCUUUGUGAUCCAG
Molecule: RNA transcript, 1323 nt
Organism: Cucumis melo (muskmelon)
Lineage: Eukaryota; Viridiplantae; Streptophyta; Magnoliopsida; Cucurbitales; Cucurbitaceae
Exons: 5
Source: RefSeq, a predicted model, not a curated record